Molecule: ribosomal RNA, 538 nt
Filed under: uncultured bacterium
Lineage: Bacteria
Description: bacterial SSU rRNA
Rfam family: Bacterial small subunit ribosomal RNA
Source: RNAcentral
UUACCUGGCCUUGACAUACUAAGAACUUUCCAGAGAUGGAUUGGUGCCUUCGGGAACUUAGAUACAGGUGCUGCAUGGCUGUCGUCAGCUCGUGUCGUGAGAUGUUGGGUUAAGUCCCGCAACGAGCGCAACCCUUUUCCUUAUUGCCAGCGGGUUAAGCCGGGAACUUUAAGGAUACUGCCAGUGACAAACUGGAGGAAGGCGGGGACGACGUCAAGUCAUCAUGGCCCUUACGGCCAGGGCUACACACGUGCUACAAUGGUCGGUACAAAGGGUUGCUACCUCGCGAGAGGAUGCUAAUCUCAAAAAGCCGAUCGUAGUCCGGAUCGCAGUCUGCAACUCGACUGCGUGAAGUCGGAAUCGCUAGUAAUCGCGGAUCAGAAUGCCGCGGUGAAUACGUUCCCGGGCCUUGUACACACCGCCCGUCACACCAUGGGAGUUUGUUGCACCAGAAGUAGGUAGUCUAACCGCAAGUAGGACGCUUACCACGGUGUGGCCGAUGACUGGGGUGAAGUCGUAACAAGGUAAGCGUAGAUGA